This is a small nucleolar RNA of Hemicordylus capensis (graceful crag lizard), 69 nucleotides long. NCBI's taxonomy places the organism in Eukaryota, Metazoa, Chordata, Lepidosauria, Squamata, Cordylidae. The record is from RefSeq and is a predicted model, not a curated record.
CUCUCAUGUGAUGAGUCCCCUACCGCCCCAGUCUGAUUCCUGUGACUGAGUGGUUUCCUCUGAGUUGGG